GGGGGGAUAGCUCAGUGGUAGAGUGCAUGCAAAGCAUGGGUUCAAUCCCCAGUACCUCCA
Molecule: transfer RNA, 60 nt
Filed under: Camelus bactrianus (Bactrian camel)
Lineage: Eukaryota; Metazoa; Chordata; Mammalia; Artiodactyla; Camelidae
Also listed under: 2 other names
Rfam family: tRNA
About the family: Transfer RNA (tRNA) molecules are approximately 80 nucleotides in length. Their secondary structure includes four short double-helical elements and three loops (D, anti-codon, and T loops).
Source: Rfam by way of RNAcentral